UACGUAGGGUGCAAGCGUUGUCCGGAAUUAUUGGGCGUAAAGAGCUCGUAGGCGGUCUGUCACGUCGGCUGUGAAAUCCCGAGGCUCAACCUCGGGUCUGCAGUCGAUACGGGCAAACUAGAGUAUUGCAGGGGAGACUGGAAUUCCUGGUGUAGCGGUGAAAUGCGCAGAUAUCAGGAGGAACACCAGUGGCGAAGGCGCCGCUCUGGGCCGAGACUGACGCUGAGGAGCGAAAGCGUGGGUAGCAAACAGG
RNAcentral lists this ribosomal RNA (253 nucleotides) under uncultured bacterium. RNAcentral describes it as "partial 16S ribosomal RNA". It matches the Rfam family "Bacterial small subunit ribosomal RNA", at positions 524 to 776 of the family's 1533-position model. The record is from RNAcentral.